CCUCUCGGCCUGACGCGCGGGAGCGGGAGCCGCUGGCCUCUGCUUUAGAGCGCUUUUGCUUUCCGAAUACAGCCUUCAUAAGGGCAAGAGCUUCCACCCAUUUUGUUCACUGCUGCGGUCCUGAUGCCUGGGACAGCCCUGCUGAGAGAUGAGGAAAGGGAUUCCUAACCCGAGCCUAAGGCAUCAAGGACUCAGGAGGAGUCAUCAGAUCCCAUUCUCAUGAGUGGAACCUUCCCUGAAUCUCUCAGUAGCCUGGGUGUCCCCUGGACCAGCGCUUUCUUUCCCACUUGGAUCCCAUCCCAGUUCAUCACCAGCAUCACCCAUGAUGUGGCUCCUCCAACCAGCCAGGGACUGGCAGGGCCUCACCUGCCACCAGGAACGGGGCUGGGUUUCUAGCUGGCAGGCUGAUGCUGGGCCCCACAAUCCCACAACUGCCCGAGGGAGUGGCCACAAUUCCGUUUUAGAGCCUGUUUCCUCAGAUCACUCCUGGCACCUGACCUCUGAGAGCUGGUGCGCUGGGAAGCAGAUGUGGAGAAGACAGUUUGUGUGAAAUGAGUGUCCUGAGAAGUGACCCUGGUGUCUUCGCCUGUAAAGGAAGAGCAGACAUAACCUGAGCAGAAGCUGAUUGCGGUGGUGGCUGCAACAAGGCCUCAGUCCAUCCCACUGGGGUCUGAGUGGGAGGGCCUUGCAGACUCGUCCUGCCACCAGGGAGGCCCUGGCCCUCUCUCCUCCCUUCAUGGACCAGUCAUGGGGUGCUGUGAACUUGGGCAGGCGGCUCCCUUCACCCAGGCCAGUUCCCGGCCAGGGGCUCAGCAGAGAGCCUGGAGCCACCAACGUUCCCAGCAGCUGAGGGAUGCUGAGGGGGACCUGGGCACCACUGCGGCCACCGCUGUCCCCUUUAAAUACCUCUUGACCUGUCUGCCCCUUCUUGAGCAUUGCCUCUCCCCAGGCUCCAUUCUCGGGCCUUUUCUUCGUUGACUCCCAUUUCUUUGGGGGGAGCAGGGAGCAUGACCCGUGCUCCCCGGCCUUAACCAGCCCUGAGCCUGGGCCCCAGGGUUUCCUGUCUCUCCAGCAUCGCCAGUUUACGCUUCUCUUUGCCCCGCCCCUUGGGACGGCCCACCUCUUGCAUCCUUUGAUCCACCCCCACCCCCCCCACUGCUCCUACACGCGGCCCUCACUGCCUCCCUCCCGGGCUUGCUGUCCACUCAGGCCCCCGGCUCCCGGCAUGGGCGUCACAGCCCUUCGGGAGUGGAAGGGGUCACUUUACAUGCAUGUUUCCUCCCUCCUGUCUCUGUUUCCAGCGUUGCUCUCUCCUGCGUCCCCCAAAGCCAGCCCCUCCGCCUCGCCACUGCUGCUGGGGACACUUCCUCAAUCACAGAUUGUUAUUCACAUAGGAACAGUUGCUGGACGCUUGCCACGGCCUGCCCACAUCACAUUCUGGGCCAGUCAUGGUGAGUGACGCAGAAAAAGUCUCUGCUUGGAGUUCCCGUUGUGGCUCAGAGGGUUAUGAACUUGACCAGUACCCACAAAGAUCCUGGCCUCACUCAGUGGGUUAGGGAUCCCAGCUUGCCGUUGCUGUGGUGCAGGCCGGCAGCUGCAGCUCCAAUUCAACCUCCAACCUGGGAACUUCCAUAUGCUGCGGGUGCAGACCU
Molecule: long non-coding RNA, 1652 nt
Filed under: Sus scrofa (pig)
Lineage: Eukaryota; Metazoa; Chordata; Mammalia; Artiodactyla; Suidae
Description: lncRNA (ENSSSCG00000045152.2, ENSSSCG00175004628.1)
Source: RNAcentral